RNAcentral lists this ribosomal RNA (454 nucleotides) under gamma proteobacterium BAL83. RNAcentral describes it as "bacterial SSU rRNA". It matches the Rfam family "Bacterial small subunit ribosomal RNA", at positions 46 to 495 of the family's 1533-position model. Lineage: Bacteria; Pseudomonadati; Pseudomonadota; Gammaproteobacteria. The record is from RNAcentral.
GCCUAACACAUGCAAGUCGAGCGGUAGAGAGGAGCUUGCUCCUCUUGAGAGCGGCGGACGGGUGAGUAAUGCCUAGGAAUCUGCCUGGUAGUGGGGGAUAACGUUCGGAAACGGACGCUAAUACCGCAUACGUCCUACGGGAGAAAGCAGGGGACCUUCGGGCCUUGCGCUAUCAGAUGAGCCUAGGUCGGAUUAGCUAGUUGGUGAGGUAAUGGCUCACCAAGGCGACGAUCCGUAACUGGUCUGAGAGGAUGAUCAGUCACACUGGAACUGAGACACGGUCCAGACUCCUACGGGAGGCAGCAGUGGGGAAUAUUGGACAAUGGGCGAAAGCCUGAUCCAGCCAUGCCGCGUGUGUGAAGAAGGUCUUCGGAUUGUAAAGCACUUUAAGUUGGGAGGAAGGGCAGUAAAUUAAUACUUUGCUGUUUUGACGUUACCGACAGAAUAAGCACCG